ACAAAAAUAUAAGCUUUAAUGACUAAUAAUUGUUAUUGGAAGUUAAGCAGUUUGGUUGUAAUAUGGGAUAGGAUAUUGGCACAGUAUAGCACAAUACAAUUCCGUACAUAUAAUGUACAAUGUAGUGACGAAUCACAUGUUACAGUAUUAGGAUUAUAGUUCAUAAGUGAAACGCUCUCUCAACAAGGUUGCUGGGUACCACUACACAGAAACUCACUAUGAACUAAUAACUAAUAAACUAAUUUUACGCACGUAGCCUAUGAUUAGUGUGAGACAGACAACAAUCAGUUACAUUCAACUCAUUUAUUUAUAUAUUUAGGAUCCCCAUUAGUUACCUCAGUAACAACUAUGCUUCCUGGGGUCCACACAAAAGACAAGACAAGAUAAGACAUUCAAA
Molecule: long non-coding RNA, 397 nt
Organism: Anguilla rostrata (American eel)
Lineage: Eukaryota; Metazoa; Chordata; Actinopteri; Anguilliformes; Anguillidae
Exons: 2
Source: RefSeq, a predicted model, not a curated record